Molecule: non-coding RNA, 424 nt
Organism: Penaeus vannamei (Pacific white shrimp)
Lineage: Eukaryota; Metazoa; Arthropoda; Malacostraca; Decapoda; Penaeidae
Source: RefSeq, a predicted model, not a curated record
CCCAAAACAGCUGACGAAGGGAAAGGAGACCCAGGUCGACACCUCACCAGCCCGCUCAUUUUGAGGUAGAACGCUGGUGAGAAAUGUUGCUUUUCCAGUGUUGUGUUGAUUUUGGAUUAUGUUUAAGACUUGUACAGUGGCAACAAAGUGAAGAAUAAUGAGACUUUAGUAACCAUCCCAGUAUAAUAUCUGGGCCCAUCAAGAGCUCCAAAUGAUGAAAAAAGUUAUUAAUAUCAAAGCAAUCCAGACGGUACAAAGAAUCAAUGAAAUUUUGACGGUUCCGGAUAUAAAGAUAUAUGCAUGUGCGGCUUAGUAUGGGUGCAGCUUCUCCUGCUAUGUCUUAGAGCUCCAGUCCAAGGUAAGAGAUCUUACACAGCUCUUUGCAUACCUGUAGUUUCUUUGCAGAGCAAUACCUACACAAAAU